RNAcentral lists this ribosomal RNA (253 nucleotides) under uncultured bacterium. Its description in RNAcentral is "partial 16S ribosomal RNA". It matches the Rfam family "Bacterial small subunit ribosomal RNA", at positions 524 to 776 of the family's 1533-position model. The record is from RNAcentral.
UACGGAGGGCGCAAACGUUAUCCGGAUUCACUGGGUUUAAAGGGUGCGUAGGUGGGCAAGUAAGUCAGUGGUGAAAUCUCCGGGCUUAACCCGGAAACUGCCAUUGAUACUAUUUGUCUUGAAUACUGUGGAGGUCAGCGGAAUAUGUCAUGUAGCGGUGAAAUGCUUAGAUAUGACAUAGAACACCAAUUGCGAAGGCAGCUGGCUACACAAAUAUUGACACUGAGGCACGGAAGCGUGGGGAUCAAACAGG